CUUACAAACCAUGGGGCUUUAGGGACUCCUUUCCUGCCUCCCAUUAUAGCUUAUCCUACAAAUAGGAUAUCAAUGCCAAGAGAAAAGAAUGGAAGAAAUCUACUCCACGCAUGCCCAGGCUCAGCAAAGCUAACAUAAUCCUAACACUUCUGAUGUUGCAAAAUAAAAUUACCAUGCAGCACCUUGGGAAUAUUAGUAAUAUGAAAGAUGUGGAAUGUGGACUUUAUGACGAGUACAUGCGGGAGAGAAGAGGAAGCUGGAUGGCUUGAACAUGAGUGGUUUUGCAAACUUCAUACAAACUGCUACUAAAGGAGACGAUAAACAAUCUCUACCAAAAUUGCAUCAGAAGCAGCAGAAGGAAAGCAUCCACAGGAAGCUUUUGCUUGCAGUAUGAAGUUUUCCAAAUCCCCCUUGGAGGCCCUUCAGCUGGGGGAAGAGGAGUGAGGUACAGUGACUACAUCUAGAAGGGAAGUUUAGCUUCAGACACCACCAUAUAAUUCUUGCAUGACCUCGGACGUGAUGUGUUUAA
Apus apus (common swift) is the source of this 529-nucleotide long non-coding RNA. RefSeq lists it as uncharacterized. The transcript is spliced from 3 exons. The record is from RefSeq and is a predicted model, not a curated record. NCBI's taxonomy places the organism in Eukaryota, Metazoa, Chordata, Aves, Apodiformes, Apodidae.